UACAGAGGGUGCAAGCGUUAAUCGGAAUUACUGGGCGUAAAGCGUGCGUAGACGGUAGCGUAAGUCGGGUGUGAAAGCCCCGGGCUCAACCUGGGAAUUGCAUUCGAGACUGCUCUGCUAGGGUGCGGAAGAGGGAAGCGGAAUUUCCGGUGUAGCGGUGAAAAUGCGUAGAUAUCGGAAGGAACACCAGUGGCGAAAGCGGCUUCCUGGUCCAGCACCGACGUUCAGGCACGAAAGCGUGGGGAGCAAACAGG
RNAcentral lists this ribosomal RNA (254 nucleotides) under uncultured bacterium. RNAcentral's name for it is "partial 16S ribosomal RNA". It matches the Rfam family "Bacterial small subunit ribosomal RNA", at positions 524 to 776 of the family's 1533-position model. The record is from RNAcentral.